This 482-nucleotide ribosomal RNA is filed under the name uncultured bacterium. RNAcentral's name for it is "partial 16S ribosomal RNA". It matches the Rfam family "Bacterial small subunit ribosomal RNA", at positions 28 to 523 of the family's 1533-position model. The record is from RNAcentral.
GACGAACGCUGGCGGCGUGCUUAACACAUGCAAGUCGAACGGUAAGGCCCUUUCGGGGGUACACGAGUGGCGAACGGGUGAGUAACACGUGGGUGAUCUGCCCUGCACUUUGGGAUAAGCCUGGGAAACUGGGUCUAAUACCGAAUACACCUUGCUGGUCGCAUGGCCUGGUGGGGGAAAGCUUUUGCGGUGUGGGAUGGGCCCGCGGCCUAUCAGCUUGUUGGUGGGGUGAUGGCCGACCAAGGCGACGACGGGUAGCCGGCCUGAGAGGGUGUCCGGCCACACUGGGACUGAGAUACGGCCCAGACUCCUACGGGAGGCAGCAGUGGGGAAUAUUGCACAAUGGGCGCAAGCCUGAUGCAGCGACGCCGCGUGAGGGAUGACGGCCUUCGGGUUGUAAACCUCUUUCAAUAGGGACGAAGCGUAAGUGACGGUACCUAUAGAAGAAGCACCGGCCAACUACGUGCCAGCCGCCGCUGUAA